RNAcentral lists this long non-coding RNA (1166 nucleotides) under Felis catus (domestic cat). RNAcentral's name for it is "lncRNA (ENSFCAG00000040428.2)". The record is from RNAcentral. Lineage: Eukaryota; Metazoa; Chordata; Mammalia; Carnivora; Felidae.
CCUGCUUCUAGGUUUAAAAUGGGAGCUGUUGAGCAGUGAAUGUGAGUGGAUGCUUCUCUGGAUCUGAGGCGGUGGUCUCUCCUGUGGUCCCUCCUGUGGUCUCUUCUGUGGUCUCUUCUGUGGUCUCUGCUGUGUUCUCUUCUGUGGUCUCUGCUGUGGUCUCUCCUGUGGUCUCUCCUGUGGUCUCUUCUGUGGUCUCUUCUGUUCUCUCCUGUGGUGUCUCUUGUGGUCUCUCCUGUGGUCUCUCUUGUGGUCUCUCCUGUGGUCUCUCCUGUGGUCUCUCCUGUGGUCUCUCCUGUGGUCUCUUCUGUUCUCUCCUGUGGUCUCUCCUGUGUUCUCUCCUGCGGUCUCUCCUGUGUUCUGUCCUGUGGUCUUCCCUGCGUUCUCUCCUGUGGUCUCUUCUCGAGGUCUCUUCUGUGGUCUCUCCUGUGGUCUCUUUGGAGUUUGUUGGGUUGGCUGUCAAGCCAGUCAGGAAAUAGGAGAAGCAGGCUCCAGGAGAGUGUUGCCUUCCUUUCCUCAGGCCAACAUGCGUGGAAUCCUUGGUGAGGAAGCCGGGGAGCUGCUGUUGCUGCCCAUCGCACUGGCAUUUGACAUCCAGUGACAGAAGGUCAUGCGAGUGUGACCGGGGUGCCAUUCUCUGGGCAUCGCAAGCAUCUGGCCCUUUCUCCUGGAGGUUAAUUGGAGUGUGGUGAGUGUGGCCAGUGGUGAGGAGGCCACUAGAGCCCUCGCCCCUUCCCCAUACAGACGCUUUUGGAUAAACAACAGGAGAAGUAAUAGGUGAGUGGACAUGUUCCAAAGCAGACUCCCGGCCCCAAUCCCUCAGGGAAUGUCACCUCACCCUCUGCCAAUGAGUUUCUGGGGCUGCCUCCAUCAUAAAUACUGUGAUUAAAAUGUAAAUUUAGCCAACCUAUCAGCUUCCCAUUAAGGCGACUCUUUAAAAACGCCGUUAAUCAGUUGAAAGAUAUGUAGUGAAAUACCACUCAUCAAUUGUAACUGCUUAUGACAGUUAACAAAGCUUUAUAUUUGCCCCAAACAUGUGCUGAUCUAUCCAUUAUGCCAAGGUUCACUCUCGCGCUAAUUGUACAUUUUCUUCUCUAAUGCAUUUUUGCUGUUAUCCCAUAGGCUAAUGAACGCCAGGAAAUCAAUAAAUAUAAAUUAUACAUGCA